AUAUAGUACAAAAUAAAUUCGGGUUCGGCUUCGGGUCGGGUACAGUCAGAAUUCAUAUCCGAAUCCAUAUCCCUUUAGUAUCGGAUAUAUCCAUUUUAUUCGGAUUCGGAUUCGAAAAAAUUUUCGGGUAUCCAUAGUCAUUGACAUCCCUAGCUCCAGAGAAGAUUUUUUUUGGAGUAAACUUCAAAUACCACCAUUAUAAUUUCGUAUUUUUUUUAUUUUAAUACUUUAUAGUUUAAAAUAUAUCAAUUUAUUAUUAUGUGAUUUAAAUCAAAUC
Molecule: long non-coding RNA, 277 nt
Filed under: Ananas comosus (pineapple)
Lineage: Eukaryota; Viridiplantae; Streptophyta; Magnoliopsida; Poales; Bromeliaceae
Description: long non-coding RNA (ACOM_LNC022932)
Source: RNAcentral